UACAUGCAAGUCGAGCGGACCGACGGGAGCUUGCUCCUUAGGUCAGCGGCGGACGGGUGAGUAACACGUGGGUAACCUGCCUGUAAGACUGGGAUAACUCCGGGAAACCGGGGCUAAUACCGGAUGCUUGAUUGAACCGCAUGGUUCAAUCAUAAAAGGUGGCUUUUAGCUACCACUUACAGAUGGACCCGCGGCGCAUUAGSUAGUUGGUGAGGUAACGGCUCACCAAGGCGACGAUGCGUAGCGACCUGAGAGGGUGAUCGGCCACACUGGGACUGAGACACGGCCCAGACUUCUACGGGAGGCAGCAGUAGGGAAUCUUCCGCAAUGGACGAAAGUCUUACGGAGCACACGCCGCGUGAGUGAUGAAGGUUUUCGGAUCGUAAAACUCUGUUGUUAGGGAAGAACAAGUACCCUUCGAAUAGGGCGGUACCUUGACGGUACCUAACCAGAAAGCCACGGSUAACUACGUGCCAGCAGCCGCGGUAAUACGGAGGUGGCAAGCGUUGUCCSGAAUUAUUGGGCGUAAAGCGCGCGCAGGCGGUUUCUUAAGUCUGAUGUGAAAGCCCCCGGCUCAACCGGGGAGGGUCAUUGGGAACUGGGGACUUGAGUGCAGAAGAGGAGAGUGG
RNAcentral lists this ribosomal RNA (629 nucleotides) under Bacillus sp. Bt 24. RNAcentral describes it as "bacterial SSU rRNA". It matches the Rfam family "Bacterial small subunit ribosomal RNA", at positions 52 to 664 of the family's 1533-position model. The record is from RNAcentral. Lineage: Bacteria; Bacillati; Bacillota; Bacilli; Caryophanales; Bacillaceae.